This 541-nucleotide long non-coding RNA is filed under the name Marmota monax (woodchuck). Lineage: Eukaryota; Metazoa; Chordata; Mammalia; Rodentia; Sciuridae. The record is from RNAcentral.
UCUUAAGAUGUAUCAAUGGCAUGGUUAUUGAUGAGCUUGACAAAAACAAUUUUUAUGGACUUAUAGAAAUAAAUUCCUGGAUAGAUUAGGUUGAAGAGAAAAGGGAGUAGAGGAAUUGGAAAGUAUAAGAUGACAUAUCUCUCAAGGAUUGUUGCUAGAAAGACAGGCUAAUUGGGACCAACAGAAGAAAGUGGCAUCAAGAGAGGGUUUGUUGUUAGAUGGAAAAAAAAAAAAAGAAAUAGAGAAGGUCACUUUCAUGGUUGCUCCAUGGUACGAAACCCAGAAAGCAGACAGGCAGCUUCUCAGCAACGUGGGUGAAAAAAAAAAAAAAGGACGGGGAGGACUUUAUUGGGAUUUAAUACUAGACAUUCAAAGCAGAUUGGGGACUCAGGAGAUUGGAUAUCAAAAAGUAAGGAACAAAUCCCCAGCACUACCACUGCUGCAGGAGGUACCAGGCAAAGCAGUCCCCCCACCAGCAAAAUGGAAGGGUAAGGGAAUUAAAGGAACACACAAUUUUAGGAGACCUGAGGUGUGUCAGUGU